This 77-nucleotide small RNA is filed under the name Arsenophonus endosymbiont of Trialeurodes vaporariorum. Its description in RNAcentral is "isrK". It matches the Rfam family "isrK Hfq binding RNA". Lineage: Bacteria; Pseudomonadati; Pseudomonadota; Gammaproteobacteria; Enterobacterales; Morganellaceae. The record is from RNAcentral.
GCACCUUAAAAAAACGGGUGCCGGGUUUGAUAGCCUGAUCCAUGAAGCGGACGUUAGCCGCUAUAAGCGGUUUUUUU